GCGGCCGUAGCUCAACUGGAUAGAGCACUUGACUACGAAUCAAGAGGUUGCAGGUUCGAGUCCUGCCGGCCGCGCCA
This 77-nucleotide transfer RNA is filed under the name Chrysiogenia bacterium. Its description in RNAcentral is "tRNA-Arg". It matches the Rfam family "tRNA". Rfam says of the family: Transfer RNA (tRNA) molecules are approximately 80 nucleotides in length. Lineage: Bacteria; Pseudomonadati; Chrysiogenota; Chrysiogenia. The record is from RNAcentral.